This 591-nucleotide ribosomal RNA is filed under the name uncultured Alphaproteobacteria bacterium. RNAcentral's name for it is "bacterial SSU rRNA". It matches the Rfam family "Bacterial small subunit ribosomal RNA", at positions 67 to 702 of the family's 1533-position model. Lineage: Bacteria; Pseudomonadati; Pseudomonadota; Alphaproteobacteria. The record is from RNAcentral.
CGCUCGUAGCAAUACGGGAGUGGCAGACGGGUGAGUAACGCGUGGGAACAUACCCUCCGGUUCGGAAUAGCUCAGGGAAACUUGGAUUAAUACCGGAUACGGCUGAGAGGCGAAAGAUUUAUCGCCGGAGGAUUGGCCCGCGUUCGAUUAGCUUGUUGGUGAGGUAACGGCUCACCAAGGCGAUGAUCGAUAGCUGGUCUGAGAGGAUGAUCAGCCACAUUGGGACUGAGACACGGCCCAAACUCCUACGGGAGGCAGCAGUGGGGAAUAUUGGACAAUGGGCGCAAGCCUGAUCCAGCCAUGCCGCGUGAGUGAUGACGGCCUUAGGGUUGUAAAGCUCUUUCGCUCGGGACGAUAAUGACGGUACCGAGAUAAGAAGCCCCGGCUAACUUCGUGCCAGCAGCCGCGGUAAUACGAAGGGGGCUAGCGUUGUUCGGAAUUACUGGGCGUAAAGCGCGUGUAGGCGGGUCUUUAAGUCAGGGGUGAAAUGCCAAGGCUCAACCUUGGAACUGCCUUUGAUACUGGAGAUCUUGAGUCCGGGAGAGGUGAGUGGAAUUGCGAGUGUAGAGGUGAAAUUCGUAGAUAUUCGCA